This 611-nucleotide long non-coding RNA is filed under the name Bos taurus (domestic cattle). Its description in RNAcentral is "long non-coding RNA NONBTAT000960". Lineage: Eukaryota; Metazoa; Chordata; Mammalia; Artiodactyla; Bovidae. The record is from RNAcentral.
ACCCCUUCGCACAACUUCCCACAGAAGCCCUCCUAGCUUCCAGCUUCGCCAUGCUCUGUAAUUCCUUCUCUCAGGUAAUAUUUCCGGCUUAUCCUGCCCUCUUGCUUUUCUAGCCUCCUCAGUGUCAAUCUCUCAUAAAGAACAAGGUGUCGCCAUGUCCUUUUCCUUCUCUUUUCACACCCUUCCCCUCAGCCACCACCAAAAUAGUAAGAUGCCAGAUAAAACAGCAGCAGCCCCUUAAUGAUAUAUACCUUUUGACGCAAAUCACUCGUUCUACUCUGUGUAAUCUAGGUAUGGAGAAGGUUCUUUGUAGAGAUGAAAUGUUAGAAUUUAAUAUUUUUGAAAUGGAAGCCUGAAUUGUUCAUUUCUGCAUUUCUCUCUGGGGGCUCACAGAUUUCUUCAUUUUCAUAGAAAAGGAAACACACACCAGGGAAGGCAACUGAUUAUGUUCAGUGCUAAAACUGCUCAGAAGAGAAUAAAAUAAUGUCAUUUCAUUUCUGCAUUUGUUAAAGAAAUCAAAAUUAGUGUUUAAUUCCAAAAGUUAACGCUUUCAGACUUAAAUCUGUAUAAAAUGACUGCCACACAGAGUGUAUUUCCAGAUCUCUUAAAGG